This 1235-nucleotide ribosomal RNA is filed under the name metagenome. RNAcentral's name for it is "bacterial LSU rRNA". It matches the Rfam family "Bacterial large subunit ribosomal RNA", at positions 1564 to 2808 of the family's 2925-position model. The record is from RNAcentral.
UGAAUACGAGACGCUACGGCGUCGAAGCAGUCUAUGUCAUACUUCCAAGAAAAGCUUGCACUGUCAUAAACAAAUAAUGCCUGUACCAUAACCGACACAGGUGGGUAGGUAGAGUAUACUAAGGGGCGCGAGAUAACUCUCUCUAAGGAACUCGGCAAAAUGACUCCGUAACUUCGGGAGAAGGAGUGCCUUAUUUAUAAGGUUGCAAUAACAAGAUCCAAGCAACUGUUUAUCAAAAACACAGGUCUCCGCUAAGUCGUAAGACGAUGUAUGGGGGCUGACGCCUGCCCAGUGCCAGAAGGUUAAAGAAGUUGGUUAGCAUUAGCGAAGCUGAUAACUGAAGCCCUAGUGAACGGCGGCCGUAACAAUAACGGUCCUAAGGUAGCGAAAUUCCUUGUCGGGUAAGUUCCGACCCGCACGAAAGGCGUAAUGAUUUGGAUACUGUCCCAGAGAGGGGCUCGGUGAAAUAGACUUGUCUGUGAAGAUGCGGACUACCUGCACCAGGACAGAAAGACCCUAUGAAGCUUUACUGUAACUUGAAAUUGAAAUUGGACUUUAUUUGCGCAGUAUAGGUGGGAGGCAUUGAUAAUAUUCUUGCGGGAAUGUUGGAGCCAUCAGUGAGAUACCACUCUUGUAAUGUUAGAUUUCUAACUUUGGAUCAUUAUCAGGUCAAAGGACAGUUUCAGGCGGGCAGUUUGACUGGGGCGGUCGCCUCCUAAAUGGUAACGGAGGCGCACAAAGGUUUCCUCUGAACGGGUAGAAAUCGUAUCUAGAGUGUAAAGGCAUAAGGAAGCUUGACUGUGAGACCUACAAGUCGAGCAGGGACGAAAGUCGGUCUUAGUGAUCUGACGGUGCUGAGUGGAAAGGCCGUCACUCAACGGAUAAAAGUUACUCUAAGGAUAACAGGCUGAUCUCCCCCAAGAGUUCACAUCGACGGGGGGGUUUGGCACCUCGAUGUCGGCUCAUCGCAUCCUGGGGCGGUAGUACGUCCCAAGGGUUGGGCUGUUCGCCCAUGAAAGCGGUACGCGAGCUGGGUUCAGAACGUCGUGAGACAGUUCGGUCCAUAUCCGGUGUAGGCGUUAGAAUAUUGAGAGGAGCCUUCUUUAGUACGAGAGGACCGAGAAGGACAUACCUCUGGUGUACCAGUUAUCGUGCCAACGGUAAACGCUGGGUAGCUAUGUAUGGAGAGGAUAACCGCUGAAAGCAUCUAAGUGGGAAGCCCACCUCAAGAUAAG